GGCAUCUAUUAAUGUCAAAUCUAGCCUUUAUUUAACAACAUAAGCAAACUCUAUGUUACAAUGAUUGCACAGCCAUUAAGGAUCAAAUCAGUUUCUGAAAAAUGUUCUGUUUUUUCUCCCUCUGCUUGCUUCUUUCUGUCUUUGAGGCUCGGGACCAGCACUCCUGUUGUUGGACAGAAAGACAUCAACUUGAGAUAUGACUGCACUAUGCUGUUGCUGUGACUCCAGUUAAUUCUACAAGACAUGCUGUGACAACAGGAGAGAUGAGUCCUCCAUCACAGAUGGUGUGGUCAGGGAAGAUGGUCGCCUGCAGGUUCAAGCUCAUUGCAUCUCCAACCCACAUCCACUGCAAC
Molecule: long non-coding RNA, 353 nt
Organism: Pelmatolapia mariae (spotted tilapia)
Lineage: Eukaryota; Metazoa; Chordata; Actinopteri; Cichliformes; Cichlidae
Exons: 3
Source: RefSeq, a predicted model, not a curated record